UAUCUUUUAUGUUAAUUAUUGUAAGUUUUUAUAAAACUAAUUCCAUUAUAGUAUUAUUUCCUUUUUGGAAUUUUCCCCUUAACAAUUAUGAAAAGCUAAAACACAAUUGGGUGAGCUAAAGUGGUAAACCCAACCCAUUGAUGGUGUUUAGAAAUAUUUUACAAUAAUUAAAAUUAUUUGAAUGGUUACUUACAUUCACCAAAUGCUAUAAACUAUCUUAUUAAAGUAAAACUUUUUUUGUAAUUUUUACUAUAAGUUGAUCAAACAAAUUUUCAUUUAUUUCAUCCAAAGAAAAAAAAUAUAUGAAUUCCGUUAUCAAAUUCGUUUAUGUUUCGAUUAUUUACAUUUCACUACUUUUUGUUUUAAUCGAUUCUGCUCGAAUUUCUACGGGUCGACCCAUCCCACCUAUAUUUCCUUGCAAUGUUUAUGAUGACUGUCCAUGGGAUUUGUGUCUUAAUGCUGUAGGUGUGUUUUGCAUGAAUGGUGCUUGUGGGUGCUUAUAGAGGAAUUUUAGUUUAUUAAUUGAGUUGAAAAAUAAAUCCAUAUUAUUAAACACCUGUCA
Molecule: long non-coding RNA, 562 nt
Organism: Vicia villosa (hairy vetch)
Lineage: Eukaryota; Viridiplantae; Streptophyta; Magnoliopsida; Fabales; Fabaceae
Exons: 2
Source: RefSeq, a predicted model, not a curated record